GGUUGAUCCUGCCAGUUGUCAUAUGCUUGUUUCAAGGAUUAAGCCAUGCAAAUGUAAGAGUACCUGUAUCUUGAUACUAGGGGGUCUGUGUACGGCUCAUUAAACGGUUUAUAGUCUACCCAACGAAGAAGAGAUUCGUCUCUUUCGAAGGGAUACCUGUGCCAAAUGCACAGCUAAUACCUGUAUGACCAAUCCGCGACCGUCCAAACGCUGGAUGUUCCCACUGACAGCGUGGUCACGGAUGCUCUUGGCCGAAACAAAGACCAACGCCUUUCACGAGGCAGAUGUAGUU
Molecule: ribosomal RNA, 292 nt
Filed under: uncultured eukaryote
Lineage: Eukaryota
Description: partial 18S ribosomal RNA
Rfam family: Eukaryotic small subunit ribosomal RNA
Source: RNAcentral